AUAUGAAUCACUUGGAGAUUUUGUUAAAAUGCAAAAUCUUAUUCAGUCAGUCUGGGUGGAGGCUGAGAUGCUGAAUUUCCAACAAGCCUACUAGUGGUGCUGCU
Molecule: microRNA precursor, 104 nt
Filed under: Marmota monax (woodchuck)
Lineage: Eukaryota; Metazoa; Chordata; Mammalia; Rodentia; Sciuridae
Source: RNAcentral